AGAGUGACAAGGUAGGGUACAGUUAAAUGUGUUAUGUUGAAGAGUAAAUUUUUAUCAUAUGUCAUGUGAUUAAAAGCUCCUGAGUCUAUUAUCCAGGUGGCAGAGUUAAUAUGAGAAAACAUGCAAAGCUUGGAAUCAGAAAUAGGGCUCUCAGUUAGCAUAGUACCAGCAAAAUUAGCAGCAUACAUGGGAGGAUGAGUCUGAGCAGUGGAGUCCCCUAACUGGGUCCGUUGUAACAAGCUCAUCAAUUGGUCAUACUGUUGUCUGCCCAACCCUGGUAUCACAUAACUCUGGCCAUCUAUGUUCGUAACAGAGUGAUGGUUUUCAGGAGGAUUUCCUUGGGGAACAGACACAUGUCCUUCAGAAGAAGGGAAAUCCACACCAGGUUUGUAACAGAGUGAUGGCUUUCAGGAGGAUUCCCUUGGGGAACAGACACAUGUCCUUCAGAAGAAGGGGAAUCCACACCAGCAGUUAGAUGAGCAGCAGCAGGUCUCCUCCCCUUGUUAAGUGUUGUACUUUGUGGAAACCCAUGAAUGUUGAAACACUUAUCAAUUAAGUGCCCAGAUUUUUUGCAGUAUCUACAGAAUAAAGGCCCUCUAGCUUGAUCAAAAUUGACUCUUUGUCUGAAAGAAGUAGAAGGAUUAGGCACUGUGGCCUUAUUGAAUCCAGCUGAAUGCCUAUUUGUGUGGACAUUGAAAGACAUAGAGUCUGAAUUAAACUGAGAAUGGGACUGGACUUGUCUCUGCUUCUCAUCAUUGAGGACCAUAUUAUAGACACUGUCAAGGGUUG
RNAcentral lists this long non-coding RNA (789 nucleotides) under Nicotiana benthamiana. Its description in RNAcentral is "long non-coding RNA (NBEN_LNC021604)". Lineage: Eukaryota; Viridiplantae; Streptophyta; Magnoliopsida; Solanales; Solanaceae. The record is from RNAcentral.